GAGAAAGAAGUAUACCUGUGUUGUGCGCCUAGCUUGAAACUAGGAGGAGGGGGUUCGAGUCCUUCCUUUCUUG
Molecule: transfer RNA, 73 nt
Filed under: Teratoscincus microlepis (Small-scaled wonder gecko)
Lineage: Eukaryota; Metazoa; Chordata; Lepidosauria; Squamata; Sphaerodactylidae
Description: tRNA-Ser
Rfam family: tRNA
About the family: Transfer RNA (tRNA) molecules are approximately 80 nucleotides in length. Their secondary structure includes four short double-helical elements and three loops (D, anti-codon, and T loops).
Source: RNAcentral